GGGAACCUGCGGAGGGAUCAUUACACAAAUAUGAAGGCGGGCUGGAACCUCUCGGGGUUACAGCCUUGCUGAAUUAUUCACCCUUGUCUUUUGCGUACUUCUUGUUUCCUUGGUGGGUUCGCCCACCACUAGGACAAACAUAAACCUUUUGUAAUUGCAAUCAGCGUCAGUAACAAAUUAAUAAUUACAACUUUCAACAACGGAUCUCUUGGUUCUGGCAUCGAUGAAGAACGCAGCGAAAUGCGAUAAGUAGUGUGAAUUGCAGAAUUCAGUGAAUCAUCGAAUCUUUGAACGCACAUUGCGCCCUUUGGUAUUCCAAAGGGCAUGCCUGUUCGAGCGUCAUUUGUACCCUCAAGCUUUGCUUGGUGUUGGGCGUCUUGUCUCUAGCUUUGCUGGAGACUCGCCUUAAAGUAAUUGGCAGCCGGCCUACUGGUUUCGGAGCGCAGCACAAGUCGCACUCUCUAUCAGCAAAGGUCUAGCAUCCAUUAAGCCUUUUUUUCAACUUUUACCUCGGAAUCAGUAGGUUCCCGGUUUCACU
RNAcentral lists this ribosomal RNA (538 nucleotides) under fungal sp. RNAcentral's name for it is "eukaryotic LSU rRNA". The stretch from base 189 to 342 matches the Rfam family "5.8S ribosomal RNA". Lineage: Eukaryota; Fungi. The record is from RNAcentral.